Long non-coding RNA from Papilio polytes (common Mormon), 200 nucleotides. RefSeq lists it as uncharacterized. The transcript has 2 exons. The record is from RefSeq and is a predicted model, not a curated record. NCBI's taxonomy places the organism in Eukaryota, Metazoa, Arthropoda, Insecta, Lepidoptera, Papilionidae.
CAGAGCCGAAGCAGAAGGCUCACGUGGACCUGCGCAGCAAGCUGGCCACCAGACCACCAGCUCCGGCUGAGAGGCCGCACAGGCAGAAGAUAGUCUUCGAACAUAAAGAGGAACGCAAAAAAGACAAAUCUCCGGCUCGAAGGACCGUAGUAUCGAGUUCUACUAAGUCUGAAGAACAUCAGGAAAAGAAAAGCAAUAAG